UACGUAGGGGCUAGCGUUAUCCGGAAUUACUGGGCGUAAAGGGUGCGUAGGCGGUCUUUCAAGCCAGAAGUGAAAGGCUACGGCUCAACCGUAGUAAGCUUUUGGAACUGUAAGACUUGAGUGCAGGAGAGGAGAGUGGAAUUCCAUGUGUAGCGGUGAAAUGCGUAGAUAUAUGGAGGAACACCAGUGGCGAAGGCGGCUUUCUGGACUGACCCUGACGCUGAGGUGCGAAAGCGUGGGUAGCAAACAGGAUUAGAUACCCCGGUAGUCCCU
This 273-nucleotide ribosomal RNA is filed under the name uncultured prokaryote. RNAcentral describes it as "partial 16S ribosomal RNA". It matches the Rfam family "Bacterial small subunit ribosomal RNA", at positions 524 to 798 of the family's 1533-position model. The record is from RNAcentral.